UACGGAGGGAGCAAGCGUUGUUCGGAUUUACUGGGCGUAAAGGGCGCGUAGGCGGCCAGCACAAGUCAGUUGUGAAAUCUCCGGGCUUAACUCGGAAAGGUCAACUGAUACUGUGCGGCUAGAGUGCAGAAGGGGCAACUGGAAUUCUCGGUGUAGCGGUGAAAUGCGUAGAUAUCGAGAGGAACACCUGCGGCGAAGGCGGGUUGCUGGGCUGACACUGACGCUGAUGCGCGAAAGCCAGGGGAGCGAACGGG
Molecule: ribosomal RNA, 254 nt
Filed under: uncultured bacterium
Lineage: Bacteria
Description: partial 16S ribosomal RNA
Rfam family: Bacterial small subunit ribosomal RNA
Source: RNAcentral